RNAcentral lists this non-coding RNA (270 nucleotides) under Homo sapiens (human). Lineage: Eukaryota; Metazoa; Chordata; Mammalia; Primates; Hominidae. The record is from RNAcentral.
CCCUCAUCCCUGUGCCCUUCUGUCUGGGUCUCUGUCCCCUUGUCUGGGUGUCUGUCACCCUCCGCUCUCUGGUUCCUCGCCUUCCCGUCUCUAAUCUCACAGGGCUGAUGUGGACGCUGCUGUAUGGGGGGAACACCUGCCCUGCUCACAGGGCUCUGCCACUUUUCCCUUCCAGGAGGGCAUCCUGGCUGUUUCACCCGUGGACUUGAACUUGCCAUUGGACUGAGCUCUUUCUCAGAAGCUGCUACAAGAUGACACCUCAUGUCCCUG